RNAcentral lists this non-coding RNA (148 nucleotides) under Chlorocebus sabaeus (green monkey). Lineage: Eukaryota; Metazoa; Chordata; Mammalia; Primates; Cercopithecidae. The record is from Rfam by way of RNAcentral.
GCCAGGCCUGGUGGUGCAGGCCUGUAGUCCCAGCUACUUGGGAGGCUGAGACAGGAGAAUUGCUUGAACCUGGGAGGUGGAGGUUGCAGUAAGCUGAGAUCACGCUACUGCACUCCAGCCUGGGUGACAGAGCAAGACACUGUCUCAC